AACGAACGCUGGCGGCGUGGCUAAGACAUGCAAGUCAAACGAACCAUUAAUUUAUUAGUGGUUAGUGGCGAAAGGGUGAGUAAUGGAUAGGUAACGUACCCCGUACUCCGGGAAAGCGUCAGUCCCUUCGGGGACUUUCCGAAAGGGGCGGUAAAACCGGAUAAUGUCUUGUAUCGACAGAUACUUGACCAAAGAUUCAUCGGUAUGGGAGCGGCCUAUCUCCUAUCAGUUUGUUGGUGAGGUAACGGCUCACCAAGGCAACGACGGGUAGCGGGACUGAGAGGUUGGCCCGCCACAUCGGGACUGAGACACUGCCCGGACCUCCACGGAGGGCUGCAGUAACGAAUAUUGCGCAAUGGGCGAAAGCCUGACGCAGCGACGCCGCGUGCGGGAGGAAGUCCUUCGGGAUGUAAACCGCUGUCAGGGGGAAGAAAGUGCGCUUCGGCGCAUUGAUCUAACCCAGAGGAAGUCACGCUAACUU
RNAcentral lists this ribosomal RNA (481 nucleotides) under uncultured bacterium. Its description in RNAcentral is "bacterial SSU rRNA". It matches the Rfam family "Bacterial small subunit ribosomal RNA", at positions 29 to 503 of the family's 1533-position model. The record is from RNAcentral.